AUUGAACGCUGGCGGAAUGCUUUACACAUGCAAGUCGAACGGCAGCACGGACUUCGGUCUGGUGGCGAGUGGCGAACGGGUGAGUAAUGUAUCGGAACGUGCACAGUCGUGGGGGAUAACGUAGGGAAAAUUACGCUAAUACAGCAUACGAUCUAUGGAUGAAAGCGGGGGACCGCAAGACCUUGCGCGAUUGGAGCGGCAGAUAUCAGAUUAGGUAGUUGGUGGGGUAAAGGCCCACCAAGCCAACGAUCUGUAGCUGGUCUGAGAGGACGACCAGCCACACUGGAACUGAGACACGGUCCAGACUCCUACGGGAGGCAGCAGUGGGGAAUUUUGGACAAUGGGCGAAAGCCUGAUCCAGCCAUUCCGCGUGCAGGAUGAAGGCCCUCGGGUUGUAAACUGCUUUUGUACAGAACGAAAAGGUUUCUACUAAUACUAGGAGCUCAUGACGGUACUGAAAGAAUAAGCACCGGCUAACUACGUGCCAGCCGCCGCAGUAA
Molecule: ribosomal RNA, 500 nt
Filed under: uncultured bacterium
Lineage: Bacteria
Description: partial 16S ribosomal RNA
Rfam family: Bacterial small subunit ribosomal RNA
Source: RNAcentral